GCCGGUGUAGCUCAGUUGGUAGAGCGCCUCACUUGUAAUGAGGAUGUCGCGGGUUCAAAUCCUGUCUCCGGCUCCA
Molecule: transfer RNA, 76 nt
Filed under: Suttonella indologenes
Lineage: Bacteria; Pseudomonadati; Pseudomonadota; Gammaproteobacteria; Cardiobacteriales; Cardiobacteriaceae
Description: tRNA-Thr(tgt)
Rfam family: tRNA
About the family: Transfer RNA (tRNA) molecules are approximately 80 nucleotides in length. Their secondary structure includes four short double-helical elements and three loops (D, anti-codon, and T loops). Further hydrogen bonds mediate the characteristic L-shaped molecular structure. tRNAs have two regions of fundamental functional importance: the anti-codon, which is responsible for specific mRNA codon recognition, and the 3' end, to which the tRNAs corresponding amino acid is attached (by aminoacyl-tRNA synthetases). tRNAs cope with the degeneracy of the genetic code in two manners: having more than one tRNA (with a specific anti-codon) for a particular amino acid; and 'wobble' base-pairing, i.e. permitting non-standard base-pairing at the 3rd anti-codon position.
Source: RNAcentral